GUCAGGUGUCACUUGCAUUGGGUUUGCAACAUCGUGAAAGUGAUGCUUUUUCCAUGUCCGGUGAGAACCAUAUGAGGGUUAACAAUGUAGCACCUUCCUCUAUGGGACCUGACUCGAUGGAUUAUCAUUGCAUGGAUCUGGGAAAGCAACAGGACAGGUUUGGCAAUUCCCAUAUAUUACAUGAUUUUGUAGUUUGAAAGAAUCC
Molecule: unclassified non-coding RNA, 205 nt
Filed under: Hevea brasiliensis (rubber tree)
Lineage: Eukaryota; Viridiplantae; Streptophyta; Magnoliopsida; Malpighiales; Euphorbiaceae
Source: RNAcentral